Molecule: long non-coding RNA, 4521 nt
Organism: Amphibalanus amphitrite
Lineage: Eukaryota; Metazoa; Arthropoda; Thecostraca; Balanomorpha; Balanidae
Exons: 3
Source: RefSeq, a predicted model, not a curated record
GACAUGAACCGAUUUGAAUUUUUCUGCAGAAAUAUGCUUGUUGUCAUUUCAAUGAUUGAUGUUGUUUUGAGAUUGUGAUGCUUUAAAAUGUAAGAUUUUAUUUUAGAUAACUGAAUCAAGAUGCCAGCCUGUGCUGUAGCUACAUGUAAGGUCUGGAGUGGAGGUUGGUCGAACAAGAAAACUGAAGCCUCAUUUUUUAGAUUUCCAAAGAAUCCCGAAGUCCAGGCUGCGUGGGUGCAUAGGUGUUACCGCCAAGAUCAAUUCAAUGUAAAAAACGCUGUUGUGUGCUCUGAACACUUUGUUGAGACUAUGAUCCAUCAUAUCUAGUCAAGAGAACUCUGAUGCCAAAUUGAAAUGUGAAGCCUUCACUGAAACCAGAUGCCAUCCCUUCAAGGAACCUACCCUCAGCCUCAUCACUGUCAAGGCCAGGAGAUGACACCAGGGGAGGCCGACUCGAGCAGAGGAAGGAGAGGGUGGUGGUGAAACAGCUUCUUGAACAAGGGCCUGGACAGAUGGAGAUCAGUGGCAGCGACAGCAGCUUCGCGAUCCAGCCGACGAGGAGGCUGCCGAGCAGCACGAGCAAUGGGAGGCCGCCUACCAGUCGGCGAUGGGCCAGCCGCCUCUGCCACCCGCCCCUCCUGCUCACGAGGACAACAGUCCGGACACAGAAGAGGCUGGGCCAUCCAAUACUCGACCGCGGACCGCUGAACUCGGCGUCAACCGCGAGGCGCUCGCGUUCGUGGCCGGCUAUGUGGCAUUCAAAUACCGGCAGAUCCGCGGCGACCUCGGCCAACCGACCUCGUCUUCUCUGGCGCCAGCGUCCGUACCGAGCCGCUGGCUGGAGACAAUCAGCCGCGGCAGCCUCUACGUCCCCAGCCAGUGGUGGAUGGGCGUGGUGGAAGAUUUCAACGACACGUUCAGUGACGUGAUGGGGCCGACCGCGGUCAAGACGCCUGGCAUCGUGAAGCGCCUGACAGGCUGCGUGCUCGCCCGACCUCCAGGGCUGGACGAGCGAAUCGCCAGGAAGCUGGUAAGCACGCGGCUGCACCUGCGACUCCGCUGGCUCAACACCGCUCGAGCAGCAGCUGAAGCGGAAAAGUACCAGCUGAGGAAGCUAGCCCAACACGCGAAGAGCAAGCGGUAGUCGGUGCGCUCACCUCCUACGCAGACGAGGCCGUCGGUCGGCACGUUGCCUUCGGACAUUAUAGGAUGUGCAAUGUGCAUACUUCUGUUUGGACAGAGCGGCGGCGCCUGGCCGCCUGCCAACCUGUGACCCCGCCAGUUGGCCGGCUGACAUUGGCCGGAUGGGGCCGGUCGGUGCGCUCCUCGUGUGUGCGGCCGGUGUGGUGGGGCGACGGGUGAUUCUCGACGGGUGAUGGGCGAGUGUUGAAUGAUUGAGUCGCGUGACUCGGAGCCGGUCGGGGUGAGUGACUCUGAGACGGUGGGGUGGUUGCUGCGGUCGCUGUCUCGCCCCGCCGUGCCGAGCAGCGGCACGCCGAGGACGAGAGUUCCAGCCGAGUGAUAUCGGAGUCAGCCGCGGCCGUGCGCUGCUUCAACAGCCUACCUUGUUCGACAUCUGGUACUGGCUCCGGUGGGGGGUCGUAAGUGUAACGGUGGCAGGACCUCUAGUGACAGUCACUCAGCUGAUGACUCUGCUCACCUAGAUGUUUCUCGGAUCAGCGAGGGCAUGGACUCAAGUGCGGCCGUCUCUGGAGGUUCAGUAAACCGCCGACAGACGGGGCUGGACAGACCUCGCUGCUGGACUGUGCGCGGGAGUCGGUGGUCCAGCUGGUGUACCUGUCUCCACCGUUGCGGAAGGAGGGUGUACACAGUAGCGGUGGAGGCGGCGCUGGAGGUUCAGUCAGCGGUGCCGACCGGGUAGCUGGGCAGGCGACUACCGAGAGAGAUGCCCGGUCCUGUCGGCCUCUCCACCGGACGGACGGCACACGGGCGGGAGAUCUACUGGACGAGUUCGGCUGAGUCCGCCCCUGCCGGUGCCACGCCACAGGGCGGCUAACCCGCGGCGGGUCUAGUGAACUGGGGAGGAGGGGGAGUGGCAGUGAGUCGCAGAGGGAAGGGGCGAUGGUGGUGACACCCUGACAUUCUAAUGUUCAACCUACUGGACGCUCAGUGCCAUUGCCAGAGCCAGAUAGUACAGGGAACGGGUCGGGCCGGCCCUGAUGUCGCCAGGGCCGGGAACCGGUUCAGAAGGGACGGGACGGUGUGUCUGGAGAGGGUUUCUCAUCUGGUCAGGUGAUGAGCUUGGGAGGUUCGGAUGUGACUCGUGUGUCCAGCCAGGUGGACAUUACAUAGAGAUUGUUAUUAGAGAUGAGUAGUUUCUUACAGAUGUUGUCUCUGCUGUGAACACGGUGAACUGUUUCACACUACGGUUUGUGAUACUGAAAGCUGUGAAAUGCUUUUGAUGUUGAUUGAGUUUCGUUCUGUUGAAGCAGUUCCUAGUUCUACUUACUAUUUGUAAUGUGCUAUGACCGUCCGUGAUGUUUUCCGCGGCCUGAUGUGGACGUCAUCACGAAUGAUGCCCGAGGCGGCUGACCGAUGUUGUACUUCAAUCCUAGUAUUCUGAUGCCUGUGAUCUAGAGGGUACUGUGGUAGGGUACUUCAUCCAUCGGCGUCACUUUUCGGCACGGUGUUGUGAUUGGCCAAACUGGCCGUUUGGUGAUCUUGAAUUCUUGAGGACACUGACAGUCUAAUAGAUCACCGUAUGGUGACUGCUGUGCUCCCUCAGAGACAUCUGGUGACUAGCCACUAAGGUUCCUACCCCUGGGACAUGUCACAGAGGACAAUCUGCCGACGCUGUUUUCCCUGUUCCACCCACCAGACGACGUCGCGCCGCACAUCAUCAGGAUAGGCAGCUGUGAGCCGUCUCUGGCCACGAACAGCCGGUCUCGGUGGUGUGCGUGUGCCGGCGGCCGGCGCUGUGCGUCGCCUAUGACCAGCAGAGUACCAGCAGAGUAUGCAGAUGCACACGGUGUGGCGUGUGCGGCGCACCGAGCCCACCGAGUGGUGGGCGCCCGACGCCGGCGAGCUCACCAUGGCCGCCACGCCGCACUCGCUCUCGCGCUGUCGGUCGGAUCGUCCCCGGGCUCGGCGCACGGCUCGUAGAUCAGGUCCGAGGGAGGCACGCCGCUGCCACGCAGCAGGAACAACAACCGUCUGAACGUCUCCGCGGCACUGCAUAGCCUCUCGGCCGGACCUAGACAACCUGGACAAACAUACGCGGAUAACGAUCCCUGGCUCCCUGCCGACCGACAUUAGCCCAGCUCUGCCGUGGAUUUUCAUAGUGCAUUACCUUCCAUGAUUGUGAUUGUCGGGAGUAUGUAUAAGACAUUUUCGAAAUUUUAAACGAAUAACAUGUGUUCACAAGUCGCUCUAAAGUAUCAUUGAACGAAAAAAUCGAUGAAAUCGACGUAUUUUCCCCGAUGUUUUGAAGUUUUUGAAGAUGCUGUUACGCAAUAGCGGAAUGACGGCCUCGAGCUUCAGAAAGUCAGUGACGUCAUUUUCGUCAGCUGAGCAAAAGUAAACAAACGCGAAAUGCUGUUACCUCCUAUAUACGGCCUUGCUAUUAAUCACAUUUCAUCAGGGUUACCAAAGCUUGGGAUUUGUCCCAAGAUCUUGGGAUAUUGAACCCGACCUUGGGACCUUGGGAUUCAACAGCAAACCUUGGGAUUUGUCCCGAGCUUACGACUCCCGCUAAGUGCUGUUUUAGAGUCAUAUUUUUCCCAGGUUUAUGUUUGUAUGAUAUAAAACUUUAUCGGAAUUCACUGGGAUUGUAUUGCGUAUGCAAGUGGACUUGCAUACGCAAUACAAUCCCAGUGAAUUCCGAUAAAGUUUUAUAUCAUACAGACUCCCGCUAAUUUUAGCACAUUUUUUUAAUCAUUGGAAAAAGGAAAAGUAUUAAUAAAGACCAAACAAAGGAAUCAGGAACACAUCUAACACAACUUAAUUGUUUUUUUUUUUGUAAACCGUCCUUUUUGGACGAACACAACCGAGCGUUCUUUCGUUUGGUUUCACUGUACCUUACCAAGCAACCAACGAAGCACGAAUAAGUUAUCCUUAUUUGACGCGUCUUCACUUUGUUCUCCCGUCUCAGCUCUCAAGUGAGGCAUUUAGCGAAAUACCCAGUGGCUUCCGCGUCGAUUAACACCCGGCCUGGCCGCCUGUUUGCGAAUUGUGACGCCCGACGGAUCGGAGGCGGAUCCAGCUCAGAGUUUUGGGGGGCAAACCAUAAAAUUUAUCGAUUCUUUCCAUGCAUCGUCCAUAGGCGUAAUGUUAAAAUUAUGCCGUUUGGGGGGGGGCAAAUGCCCAUUUUGCCCCCCCCCCUUUGAUCCGCCACUGCGACGGAUCAUGCUUCAACUCGUAAAACCCAGGCAGGUAACUUGCUGUGUCUCUGUACCUAUGCCUGCGUGUGUAACUGUGCCGAAUGCAAGUUAUGUUAACGAUAUUGAUUUAUUUAGUCAACCAAAGAUUUGAAAAUACGUCAAAUACACUUUAUUUGCUCUA